This 253-nucleotide ribosomal RNA is filed under the name uncultured bacterium. Its description in RNAcentral is "partial 16S ribosomal RNA". It matches the Rfam family "Bacterial small subunit ribosomal RNA", at positions 524 to 776 of the family's 1533-position model. The record is from RNAcentral.
UACGGAGGGUGCAAGCGUUAUCCGGAUUUACUGGGUUUAAAGGGUGCGUAGGCGGGCCUAUAAGUCAGUGGUGAAAUCCUCCGACUCAAUCGGAGAACUGCCAUUGAUACUAUUGGUCUUGAAUACAGUUGAGGUGGGCGGAAUGUGUCGUGUAGCGGUGAAAUGCUUAGAUAUGACACAGAACACCGAUUGCGAAGGCAGCUCGCUAAACUGAUAUUGACGCUGAGGCACGAAAGCGUGGGGAUCAAACAGG